This 406-nucleotide ribosomal RNA is filed under the name uncultured bacterium. RNAcentral's name for it is "partial 16S ribosomal RNA". It matches the Rfam family "Bacterial small subunit ribosomal RNA", at positions 30 to 526 of the family's 1533-position model. The record is from RNAcentral.
AUUGAACGCUGGCGGCAGGCCUAACACAUGCAAGUCGAACGAGACGCGGACGGGGGAGUAAUGACUGGGACACUGCCCGAUGGAGGGGGAUAACUACUGGGAACGGUUACUACUACCGCAUUCCAUCGGCUGUGCCCAGAUGGGAUUAGCUAGUAGGGGGGGGAACGGCUCACCUAGGCGACGAUCCCGAGCUGGUCUGAGAGGAUGACCAGCCACACUGGAACUGAGACACGGUCCAGACUCCUACGGGAGGCAGCAGUGGGGAAUAUUGCACAAUGGGCGCAAGCCUGAUGCAGCCAUGCCGCGUGUAUGAAGAAGGCCUUCGGGUUGUAAAGUACUUUCAGCGAGGAGGCGUUACUCGCAGAAGAAGCACCGGCUAACUCCGUGCCAGCAGCCGCGGUAAUAC